UACAGAGGUGGCAAGCGUUGUUCGGAAUUACUGGGCGUAAAGGGCGCGUAGGCGGUCUUGUAAGUCUUGUGUGAAAUCCCUCGGCUUAACUGAGGAACUGCACGGGAUACUGCGAGACUUGAGAUCGGGAGAGGGAAGCGGAAUUCCGGGUGUAGCGGUGAAAUGCGUAGAGAUCCGGAGGAACACCGACGGCGUAGGCAGCGCCCUAGACGAGACCUGACGCUCAGGCACGAAAGCGCGGGGAGCGAACAGG
RNAcentral lists this ribosomal RNA (253 nucleotides) under uncultured bacterium. Its description in RNAcentral is "partial 16S ribosomal RNA". It matches the Rfam family "Bacterial small subunit ribosomal RNA", at positions 524 to 776 of the family's 1533-position model. The record is from RNAcentral.